This 1056-nucleotide ribosomal RNA is filed under the name Nudacotyle sp. Its description in RNAcentral is "partial large subunit ribosomal RNA". It matches the Rfam family "Eukaryotic large subunit ribosomal RNA", at positions 274 to 937 of the family's 3401-position model. The record is from RNAcentral. Lineage: Eukaryota; Metazoa; Platyhelminthes; Trematoda; Plagiorchiida; Nudacotylidae.
UUGAGAAUGCAGCCCAAAGUGGGUGGUAAACUCCAUCCAAGGCUAAAUACUUGCACGAGUCCGAUAGCGAACAAGUACCGUGAGGGAACGUUGAAAAGUACUCUGAAGAGAGAGUAAACAGUACGUGAAACGGCUCAGAGGUAAACGGGUGGAGUUGAACUGCGAACUCCGGGAAUUCAACUGGUGAGUGUGGUAUGAGCUUGGCAUGGUUGUUGACUCUGCGGGUCUGCUUAAUUGCGGGUCUCUGCCUUUUGUGGGGAUGCGUGAUACACUUGUCAAGUGGUGCGCGCUCGUAGAGUUUCUCGGACAUGCUUACCAGUGCACUUUUCCGGAGUGUUCACCACGACCGGCGCCGCUGCUUGUCUGAUAUGGUCAAACCGGUCUUGCAUUGUCUUCGUGGCUUUGCUUGAUUGGGAUGGCAGGUAACUCGUUGACUUGCGUGUUGAUUUCGGUCGGCAUGCGUUUGGUUUUCGAGCGUAAUCAGCUGUCCAUAUUGGUACUAUGCAGUGCGUCGGAGACGGCGGCUUGUGGUGUGUGCUUGCGUGCCAUUUUGCUGACGGAAUCGAGUUUGGUUAUUAUGUUGCCUGUUAUUCAGGCCUGGUGAUAGCUCGGUUUCGCUUUGUGAAAUGGUGCGUAUGUGACACUAUAUCAGGGCCAAUAGUCUGUGGUGUUGUGGUAGACUAUCCACCCGACCCGUCUUGAAACACGGACCAAGGAGAGUAACAUGUGCGCGAGUCAUUGGGCGUUACGAAACCCAAAGGCGAAGUGAAAGUAAAGACUCGGCUUGUUCGAGUUGUGGUGAGAUCCUGUCGUUUCUCAUGCGCGGUUUACCAAGCACUCGAGCGAUAGGCGCAUCACCGGCCCGUCCCAUGAUGUGGUCGCGGUCUCCGGAUCACGCGUCACCGGGGCGGAGCAUGAGCGUACAUGUUGAGACCCGAAAGAUGGUGAACUAUGCUUGCAUAGGUUGAAGCCAGAGGAAACUCUGGUGGAGGACCGUAGCGAUUCUGACGUGCAAAUCGAUCGUCAAAUGUGAGUAUAGGGGCGAAAGACUAAUCG